Molecule: long non-coding RNA, 474 nt
Organism: Gordionus sp. m RMFG-2023
Lineage: Eukaryota; Metazoa; Nematomorpha; Gordioida; Chordodea; Parachordodidae
Exons: 3
Source: RefSeq, a predicted model, not a curated record
UAGAUAAUUCAGGCGAAAUUUACUCUGUUGUAUUAUUUUAAUAAUACUACAAUAGAUAUUUUCUAAUUUAAUUUGUUAUAUAAAAUGUUAAAGAUUAAUUCCGGAUUUAUAUUGAUAUUAAUUGCUCUAACCUUGACUUGUUCAUCAAUUACUCAAUGCAAAUCAGUAUUUCAAAAUUUACACAGGGUUAGACGUGCUGCCCCUAUAACUGUCACACAACCAGCAAUUGAGUAUGCUAAAGUUGCUAGAGCCAUUAAUAUAGUAGGAUAACAAAAUGGAAAGAAUAAUAUUUUAUUUUACUCUAUAAUUUUACAAUUAUUAUUUUGGUGUCUAUUGUAUUUAAUUCAUUAUUAUAAAAAAUAGGAAGAUUCAAAUUAAUUUAAAAAUCAAAUUUUUUCUUGUCUAACCUAGAAUAUUGUAUUAUUAUAUAAUAUAUAAAUGUCAUUAUCAAUAAAACCUGAAUCCACGCUAAAA